This 425-nucleotide ribosomal RNA is filed under the name uncultured bacterium. RNAcentral describes it as "bacterial SSU rRNA". It matches the Rfam family "Bacterial small subunit ribosomal RNA", at positions 361 to 776 of the family's 1533-position model. The record is from RNAcentral.
AUAUUGCGCAAUGGGGGAAACCCUGACGCAGCGACGCCGUGUGAGCGAUGAAGGCCUUCGGGUCGUAAAGCUCUGUCAGAGGGAAAGAAAGGGUCGGCGGAAUAAUACCCGCCGACAUUGACGGUACCCUCGGAGGAAGCACCGGCUAACUCCGUGCCAGCAGCCGCGGUAAUACGGAGGGUGCAAGUGUUAUUCGGAAUCACUGGGCGUAAAGAGCACGUAGGCGGAUAGGCAAGUCAGGUGUGAAAGCCCGGAGCUCAACUCCGGAAUUGCAUUUGAUACUGCUUGUCUUGAGUGAGGUAGAGGGGGGUGGAAUUCCCGGUGUAGAGGUGAAAUUCGUAGAUAUCGGGAGGAACACCAGAGGCGAAGGCGACCCCCUGGGCCUCUACUGACGCUGAGGUGCGAAAGCGUGGGGAGCAAGCAGG